UUCCUUGGGCCUCGUCGGGUGUGGAAUUGAAGGAUGGACAAACGGUCUGUCGCUGCUUGUUUUAUGGUGAUGCUUGUGUUGUUAGGAAGCAGUAUGACUGCAGGUAUGUUCUGGCUUUUGCUCUUCUGAAAUAGGUUUCUUAUGGGAUUACUAGAAGUUUUCUUAAAUAUGAUGUUGAUGCACAUUGUUUCUAUGCCGUGGAGGAAUAAUACAUGUUACCAAUUAUGCAAUAGUUUUAGCAUGGUAUGUUGUUACACUUGAUGUCCCACUAUUAUGCUCUAACCCUUAAUAUAUUUGAGAUGCACAGAGAACUGUGAGAUUAAGCGCGACAGGAUGACAUUUUGUAUAAAGUCUGAAUGUCUGUAUCAUUGCCAACAUCGUUGGUAUUAUAAAGUCACACAGUAUUGGUGUGAUGGUCUGUUCUUCGGCUUCUGCAACUGCAAGAUUUGCAUCGUCGUAUAGAACUUCAAUGGAUAUUUACUAUAUCAAGUGCACUUGAAGCUUUCAUUUAGCAAUUGAGCACUUUGUAUCCUGCAGUAAUAGAGUUAUGUUUGGAAGUGAUAAUAAUAUGUCUAGUCUCAUAAAAAUCUGCUUAAAGGCAAACUUUGUAGAGUUAUUAAUAAAUAUAGCGAUUGCUAAGUGCACUUGAAGCUUUCAUUUAUACUAGG
RNAcentral lists this long non-coding RNA (668 nucleotides) under Triticum aestivum (bread wheat). Its description in RNAcentral is "long non-coding RNA (TAES_LNC011030)". The record is from RNAcentral. Lineage: Eukaryota; Viridiplantae; Streptophyta; Magnoliopsida; Poales; Poaceae.